RNAcentral lists this unclassified non-coding RNA (253 nucleotides) under uncultured Alphaproteobacteria bacterium. Its description in RNAcentral is "contains 16S-23S intergenic spacer region". It matches the Rfam family "Bacterial small subunit ribosomal RNA", at positions 524 to 776 of the family's 1533-position model. The record is from RNAcentral. Lineage: Bacteria; Pseudomonadati; Pseudomonadota; Alphaproteobacteria.
UACGAAGGGGGCUAGCGUUGCUCGGAAUCAUUGGGCGUAAAGGGCGCGUAGGCGGCCCCGUUAGUCAGGCGUGAAACCCCCGGGCUCAACCCGGGGACUGCGCUUGAUACGGCGGGGCUUGAGGAUGGAAGAGGGUCGCGGAAUUCCCAGUGUAGAGGUGAAAUUCGUAGAUAUUGGGAAGAACACCGGUGGCGAAGGCGGCGACCUGGUCCAUUUCUGACGCUGAGGCGCGACAGCGUGGGGAGCAAACAGG